NNNNNNAAUUUGCCCAAAAUUGCCCUUUUUUCCCCCAAAAUCCCCAUUAUUACCAUAAAUCCCCAUUUUUGUCCCCCAAAAACCCCAAUUUCCCCCCAAAUUUGCCCAAAAUUGCCCUUUUUCCCCCCAAAAUCCCCAUUAUUACCAUAAAUCCCCAUUUUUGUCCCCCCAAAAACACCAAUUUUCUCCCAAAUUUGCCCAAAAUUGCCCUUUUUUCCCCCAAAAUCUCCAUUUUUACCAAAAAUCCCCAUUUUUGCCCCAAAAUCCCCCAUUUUCACCCAAAGUUGCCCAAAAAAGCCCCAAUUUCCUCCCAAAUUUGCCCAAAAUUGCCCUUUUUCCCCCCAAAAUCCCCAUUAUUACCAUAAAUCCCCAUUUUGUCCCCAAAAAACCCCAAUUUCCCCCCAAAUUUGCCCAAAAUUGCCCUUUUUUCCCCCAAAAUCCCCAUUAUUACCAUAAAUCCCCAUUUUUGUGCCCAAAAACCCCAAUUUCCCCCCAAAUUUGCCCCAAAUUGCCCUUUUUUCCCCCAAAAAUCUCCAUUUUUACCAAAAAUCCCCAUUUUUGCCCCAAAAUCCCCCAUUUCCCCCCAAAUUUGCCCAAAAUUGCCCUUUUUCCCCCCAAAAUCCCCAUUUUUACCAAAAAUCCCCAUUUUUGCCCCAAAAUCUUCCAUUUUCACCCAAAUUUGCCCAAAAUUGCCCUUUUUCCCCCCAAAAUCUCCAUUUUUACCAAAAAUCCCCAUUUUUGCCCCAAAAUUUUCCAUUUUCACCCAAAUUUGCCCCCCAAAAAAACAAUUUUCCCCCCAAAUUUGCCCAAAAUUGCCUUUUUUUCCCCCAAAAUCCUCAUUAUUACCAUAAAUCCCCAUUUUUGUUCCCAAAAUCCCCCAUUUUCACCCAAAUUUGCCCAAAAAAAACCAGUUUUCCCCCGAAAUUUGCCCAAAAUUGCCAUUUUUUCCCCCAAAAUCCCCAUUAUUACCAAAAAUCCCCAUUUUUGCCCCAAAACCCCCAUUUUUCACCCAAAUUUGCCCAAAAAAACCCGUUUCCCCCCCAAAAUCCCCAUUUUUACCAAAAAUCCCCAUUUUUGCCCCAAAAUCUUCCAUUUUCACCCAAAUUUGCCCCAAAAGCCCCAAUUUCUCCCCAAAUUUGCCCAAAAUUGCCCUUUUUUCCCCCAAAAUCUCCAUUUUUACCAAAAAUCCCCAUUUUUGCCCCAAAAUCCCCCAUUUCCCCCCAAAUUUGCCCAAAAUUGCCCUUUUUUCCCCCAAAAUCCCCAUUUUUCCCAAAAAUCCCCAUUUUUGUCCCCCAAAAACCCCAAUUUUCCCNCCCCCAAAUUUGCCCAAAAUUGCCCUUUUUUCCCCCAAAAUCCCCAUUUUUCCCAAAAAUCCCCAUUUUUGUCCCCCAAAAACCCCAAUUUUCCCCCAAAUUUGCCCAAAAUUGCCCUUUUUUCCCCAAAAAAUCUCCAUUUUUACCAAAAAUCCCCAUUUUUGCCCCAAAAUCUUCCAUUUUCACCCAAAUUUGCCCAAAAAAACCCAGUUUUCCCCCCAAAUUUGCCCAAAAUUGCCCUUUUUCACCCCAAAAUCCCCCUUUCAUUCCUUCUCUAACUUCCAUUUUUUCUCUUUACCCAAUUUUAGGUGAAAUGAACCCAAAAUUCCGACCUGGAUUUCGCCGUUUUCCGACGUCCCCAAAAUUGCCCAAAUUUGGGCUUUUUCACCCCAAAAAAUAGAUGUAAAUAUUUCAUUCUCC
Coturnix japonica (Japanese quail) is the source of this 1733-nucleotide long non-coding RNA. Lineage: Eukaryota; Metazoa; Chordata; Aves; Galliformes; Phasianidae. The record is from Ensembl.